AUGGAAAGUUCCCUCUUGAACAGCUUCACAACCUGGAGGAUGUUCUCAGCUGCCUGCAGCUCAUCAGGCGGUCCUGCAUGUUGUUUCCAUGAAGACAGAAUUUUGUCUAUAAAGGAACAUCUUCACACCAGCAAAGAUCACUGCUGUGUUCUGUGUGGCUCAGCCCGUGAGGAAAAGCUUGCACACUUCAGCAUCACAGAUAUCGCUCUGAUGAUGGUACUGACCGAGUGUCACGUGGGGGGGACAGUAGUGGAAGUAAAAAGCUGUUCUCAGCAGCUGUCCUUUCCUCUGAGAUAACGUGAGAGGUGUGCUGCUCUGUGCCCUCAGAGGUUACUAAAUCCUGUGUGCAUUUGUUUCUCUUCCUCCCUCUGAUAUAUUCACAAAUGCUUUUGUCAAAACUAAAACCAAAACAUUAAGAUGACACAUAUCUGCAGGGAACCUCUUCUCCUUGCUCACCUUCCCUUUUCAGCCAGUCUGUAGAAAACACCUUCAGCUCUGAGAGUCAGGCGUCUGCUGCUCGCUGAGCUGACGGCAGGGUGGCGUCUUUAAUCUCUUGAUCAGCGUCACAACCAAAGGAACAGAAGGGUUAGCAGAGGGAGGGAUUUGGUAGCAUGGAAUACGUUUGAAUGUGUCCCUGGGGAUCUGAGGAGGCCUGGCAGGUGAUGCUGUUGCAUAAGGGGGGCCCGUCGGGCAGGAACCAGCUCCACAUCUGGCUCAUUUGUGCAGGCAGGCAACAGCAGCAGCAACUCGUGGAGUGCAGGAAUGCACUUUGACUAGGGCUUGGGGAUGCUGUUCCAGGUUUUCAUCUGGUUGUAUGUGUACUGAACUGCCCAAGUAAUCCUGAAAAAUAGUUCCCAAGCAAUUAGAAAGAACCACCUAAUUUGCCCUUUCAAAGCUUGGUUGUAUGUUUGUAUGUUUUGUGUCAAUUUAUCCUGUCACUCAGUGAAAUCAUAAUUAGGUUUCACUGCAACAUAAAUGUUAGUGAAAUGUGCUGUCCAAGUCAAUCAGUGUUACAAAGAAAUUAAUCAGAUCCAGUUCCUCCUUCUAAUGAACUUCCUCAUUAGCUGCUGGCUCUUCUCUGCAGCCUGUACUCGUUGUGUGCAGCGUAGCUUCAGCAAGUUUCGUUACCUCUUUCUCUGACGGCUUUGUCAUCGCAUCCCAAUGGGAACAAAGCAAGGAGCAUGCCAUUUCGUGGAGAGACGUGUCAGUGAGCAGGGACCAGAGCAUGGGCUUUGAAAUGGGGUAGAUCUGCUUUCGCACCUUUAGAGUACAAAUUGCACAAAAUGAGACUGAGAACAGUAGUGCAGGAUUUACCUCUCCCAACCCUAUCCCCUACUUGACAACGCGGUGACAAAAUGUUUAACUGCAUGGCAAUUGAAGAGCAGCAGAGAGGUUACGGUGUAAACAUUUGUGUGUAAGUAUCACCAAACAAUGUUGGUUACAGGUGUUUUCUGUACUGCUUCCUUUUAAGAUUGCCCUGAUUUGCUGCCCCAGUCAUCCCAGUGACUUGGACUGGUGGAGACAGAGGUGCAAACGGAACUGUAUUGUCAAGAUGCAACGGUUGCAACACUGCAAACCUCUGGCCUUUGUGAUUAAUUCAGACACAGAGGCUGUUUGAUGUAGUGUAUGACAGUGCACACGACUUUUAUGCAAGGCUGUAGGAGAAAUUAAAUUUAUAUUUGUAGAUCGAAUUAUUGCUUCAUCAAAUAAGCUUUAAGAUGCAAGAAGAAGAUCAGUACUCAGAUGUAGCUUCGUUUUUCUGAUCAUUCACCAACUUUUCAAUCUUCCCAUUGUAGUACCUCCAAUACCAUACGUAAUACCUCUGGUUCUGGUAUUGAUUAUACACUUCUCUCUCCAACAAACCAGGUGAGUGCAAAGACUUCUUUUGCUUAGAAGAUGCUUAUUUACGUGCUGACUGCAUGUUGCAGUGGAGCAUGAGUCCUUAGUGCAGCUUCCUCUAUGAGUCAGCAUUGCUUUUUUCUUCAGCAUAUGGUUAGUAUUCAGUUUCAUUCCAAGCACUUUGCUUGUGGAUGGUCCUUUUUAGAGGUCUUGUUUCCAAGAUGCAAAGAUUUUCUAAGUCUUGCCCUCUCAUCAGUUAUGCCACGAUGAUGUGAGGGGAAAAAGAUCGUUUAUUGCCACUUUGAUGUCAAAAUUCCCAUACAUGAGGUGGCAACUGGUUGAGAUCCUGACCCAAUCUAAAGCCUGCUGAAAUUAAUGAGCAUCUUCUAUUGGCUUUUGUUGUCUUUGGAUCAGGCCAUCAGAGCAUGAUCCUGUCCGCUGAAGGCAGUGGGAAUUGUGUCUUUGAUUUCACUGGACCCAAGUGGAGCACAGUGCGUUAACCUGUAGUUGGCUGUUUCUCCAUUAAAAUUAUCGACUUGCAGAACCUGUGUCGGUUAGGUAAUGUAAUGUUAGAGGUGGAGAAAUGAAAAGUCAGAUAUCCGUUCUGCCAAUUCAGUGUGCUUCUCUUACUGCUCUUUUCAGCUUUUCUUUAUGGCCAACAUGACAGCAAUCACUAUUCAAGAUAGUUUUACAAUAGAGCCUUAUGUGUCAUUCAGCAAACGAGAAACCUGAAGUUCUGUCCAAAUGCACUGUAAUAAAAAGUCCAGGAGUAGGGCUGUUGGUGCUGCA
RNAcentral lists this long non-coding RNA (2628 nucleotides) under Anas platyrhynchos platyrhynchos (common mallard). RNAcentral describes it as "lncRNA (ENSAPLG00000028228.1)". The record is from RNAcentral. Lineage: Eukaryota; Metazoa; Chordata; Aves; Anseriformes; Anatidae.